RNAcentral lists this ribosomal RNA (241 nucleotides) under uncultured bacterium. Its description in RNAcentral is "partial 16S ribosomal RNA". It matches the Rfam family "Bacterial small subunit ribosomal RNA", at positions 15 to 244 of the family's 1533-position model. The record is from RNAcentral.
GAUCAUGGCUCAGGAUGAACGCUGGCUACAGGCUUAACACAUGCAAGUCGUGGGGAAACGGCAUUAUGUGCUUGCACAUUCUGGACGUCGACCGGCGCACGGGUGAGUAUCGCGUAUCCAACCUGCCCCUUACUUGGGGAUACCCCGUUGAAAGACGGCCUAAUACUCGAUGUGUUUCAUUGACGGCAUCCGAUAUGAAACAAAGGUUUUUCCGGUAAGGGAUGGGGAUGCGUCUGAUUAG